This is a long non-coding RNA of Tetranychus urticae (two-spotted spider mite), 3721 nucleotides long. RefSeq lists it as uncharacterized. Lineage: Eukaryota; Metazoa; Arthropoda; Arachnida; Trombidiformes; Tetranychidae. The record is from RefSeq and is a predicted model, not a curated record.
GCAAGAGAAUUUGAUAAUCGCGCGUAAUUAACUUUUGCAAAAAGAGAGCAAUCCAAUUGGUUGAUUUUUACCACAAAGAAAUAUCCUUUGUCUUUUUUUGUCAACUUUAAAAUUUAACAUAAUCACAGUUGGACAAGAAAUCAUUUCCACUUUUAAUAAGUCUUAUUUUUAAUUGUUUUCCUACUCUUAUUAUAAUAAACUGUAGUUGGGUCCUAUUUAUUCAAACAAUGGUAAGGUCAAUGGUAAAAAGUUGGAACAAUCACACCAGACCUUCUAUGUUGAGUGGUUUCAAUUGCUUUUUUUUGGUGGAAACGGUGAUUGUGGAUUGGUUACUCAAUAUUUAAUGCCAAUAAUGGUAAUAUCUCAUGAAUGUCUCAUCCCAUUCCACAUGCUUGAUUGCCGAAGAUUCUCGAACUACAAGAUAUGAAAUCAUCAACUUGAAAUACCAUUUAAAUGGAUCUAGUAAUGAUAUUCUUGUAUUUCAAUGUCACAUAUGGGUUUAACUGUCACUUCUUCCAGUGAAGUCUAGGAAUGGCAAGGUUUCCGAUAAGCCUCAAAGGGAUAAAAGGUGAACUGGUUGGAAAUGGUUAAUAGGCAACUUGGAGGCUCCUAUUGAGUUAUCAGUCGACAUCAGCAUCAUAAGUUGUCCAGUUUUAUUAAAUGAUUGCCCUUCAAUCAAUGCUGCUCGGAGACAGUCAACCUUGUUCAAAGGAAGUUUUGGUGUCCAAUAAACCAACAAACCAGCAAACCAGAUAAACCAUCAACUACAAAGGGUGAACUUAGCAAUGGAAGGCUUAACCUUAGGUUACUUUCAUCUACAUUUUCACCCGAUUACUGGUGAAGAAUGCUUGUUUCUUCAACAGUCUGUAAACUAAAAGAUGGUGAAGACGAAACAUUUCAAUUAGCUGAACAGUGAUUAAUUAGAUUAAAUCGAAGAAAGUGGCCUUCAUCUCAUUUUUAGUUGAAAUGUGUUUUGCUUUGUGUAUGUUAGUUGGAGCUGGAUCGCGUCUAGGUCAACUUUCAAUAAGCGGAAUCAAUGAAUAAGUGAUAUUUGCAUGUCUUUAGGGUAAAAAUUUAAACCAUCAUAAUCAUCAUAAUCCUUAUAAUCCUCAUCAUUAUACGCUUUCUCUUUCUCUCCUCUAAAAUAAGCGAGAUGGAGAAGGUAAACAUUGAAAAAGUAGUCAUGAUCAUGAAAAGUAAUAGAAGGAGAAAAAAGUGAAAACCUGGAAGCGAUUUUAUCUUCUUCAUUCUCUUUCUUCAUUCUAUCACAGCAACAGCACCAAUAAUGAUAACCAUAAUAAUAAUAAUAAUAAUAAUUUGUUAAUCAUUAUCAAAAUAUUGGAAAGGUCAAAAUUAAUCAGCAAAUACGAUCAAAACCCGGAAUCGCAGUUAACCUUUUUUUCUCGAUUAAAGCUGCUUGUUUUUAAGUUUCAACUGUUUUGUAGCAGUAAAAGGCCAACUAUAAAAAAACUAACAACACCUUUGACCUCAAGUGACAGGUUAUAUCAUUUUUAAUAAUAGCUUGAAGCUAAGUAUUGAGAAAGCGAAACAAAUAAUUAAUCUAAAUUACCACUUAACUACCAAAACAGUGAAAGAAACAAUGGCAAUUGAAAGGUAAAAUAUAGUUAAUCGUACAACUGUUUGAAUCAUUUCAUGAUGAAUGAAAAUACUAUUGUAAAUUAGCGACUCUUUUUUAAACGGCAAUUUGUUUUCUGUCGUUAAUAAAAUUAGUUAAGUGAUAAACUAAUCAUUGACAACAAAUUAGCUUAAUAAAUGUAAAUUUUAAAUUUUAAAAUUAAAUUUCAGGUUUCAUUAGGUACUGCCAUCUUGUAUUAAUGAGCACAAGUAAUAUACAAAACAACGCGUUUUUUGUUUCAAGAAAAGUGAAUUUUCUCGUUUUUUCAAUUUAAUUAUGUGAUUAUAAAAUUAUUACUGAACUUUAAUUUAUGGCAGAACAAUUACCUUCUAAUAUUAAGUUUUAAUUAGUCAGAUUAUGCGACUUUUUUUAUGGUUAAUCGACUGCAAGUACAAGUUUUAUGUUCAUGGAUUGUUAACACUUUUUACUUAAAUCAUCAAAUCGGUUUGUUACUAACUGUCUGCUUCUCAGUACUCAUUGGGUUUAUCAUUGUGACAUAUAAUAUCAUUGUCAUGUAAUCUAAUUGUCAUUAAAUAAAUGCUUCUUUAUUGUGCUUCUCUUCGUGGUUGGUUUAAGAUUUCAAUAUUUGAUCUCAACAAGGAAUACAUCACUUCAAGUAGUGCAGUAUUACAAUAUGAAUUUUCUGGUUGGUGAAAAGGUUCAUCAUCUCUUAUUCAAGCUUACUCCUGCUCACAGUUAGAACGCGAUUAUUUGAUAAGUAAUUUGUAUCAAAAGAUCAACAUCCUACCUGAAACACUUGAUGAAAAAUGAAUUUAUCUGCAUUUGGUGUAGCCGUUGAAAAAUCUUACUUCUUAUUGUUCUUUCAGACAAUUGAUCAGUUGAACAAGUUGGUAAAAUUAUGGUUUGUUGGAAAACCAAUUUCAGUGUAAACCAGGUCAUUUAACAGAAAUAUUAAACAGUUGGAAGGUGGGACUCUACAUGCAACCAAAUCUCCAUCAUCUGGUCAUGAUAAUACAACCAAAGAGCUAAAGAAAUCAUUUUAUUUCUAAUUAAGAACAAUUGUGAUUGUUACAAAUUCCAAUAAACAAACAUCAUCUGGUAAUGAAUUUUAAAAAGGCUGAGAGUUUCCUCAUCAAAUGUUAACUGUUUCAUGGACUAAUAUUAGUCACUUUAUUAGCUUUACUAUAUUAUUGAUUGUUUAAAUAUUCAAAUUCAUUCAGAGUUAUCAUUAUCUUGAACAUAUUAGAAGGUUGAAAAGAUUGACUGUUUUGCCUUACUUUUUGCUAAUCAAGUAAUUAUCGAGAAUGAUUAUCAUUGGAAAUGACAAAAGCUUACAAUUUUGCUUCCGAUUUAAUCAGGUUUCUAACAAAAGCUUCAAAUUAUCAUUCCUAUGAUAAUAAUUUGAAAAUAUUUUACAAUAACGUAAUCCAAUGAAUUAAUUUGGUCCUUAUUCUGACUUCAUCUCUUAUCUUUCCUUGGAUUAUGAUCAAAAUGUGCAACUAGAUUUGAUUUCAAAUCAACUGUAAACAGUAUAUUAAUACUGAAAGGAUUAAAGUCGCAUUUAUUAAUUUUUUCAAUUGAGUAAAAAUUUAUUCAAUUGUGAUACUCGAACGCCAUCUGUAGAGAUCUCUCGCUACUGAUAAUAAAACGAUUUUUAAUUCAAAAUUGAUAAUUUUACACCAACCUCGUAACUCUGCUUAUUUCUAGUUAUCUUUAUUGUCUAAUUUAAAUCUAAAUCAAUUUAUCAGCUUAAUUUGGUUAAUGAAAAUUUAUAAAAGCGUUUUAAAAUUUUCUUGAAGGGUGAUCAAAAUAUGUGUGAAAUUGAAAUCUAAUCUCCAUUGGCAUCACCAUGAAUGGCACCUUUUGAUCUUCAUUCUUGUUGGUUCAGUUAUUAUAAUUAUUAUUGCUUUUUAUAUCUCGAUAGACGCGUUAUAAAAUCUGCAUUCUGAUCAAUUCAUGAAUUUAACAGUUAAAAGUUAAAGGUUAUUACAUUAAAAAGAAAGGAUGACCCGGAUAAAGUUAUAUUGUACAAGAUUUUCAAGAGGCGAGACAACAAAAGAGUGAUAGACAACGAUAACAACAUGAUGUAAUAAUAACAUGGAGAUUGCAAAAUUUGAUUACUUU